RNAcentral lists this ribosomal RNA (528 nucleotides) under uncultured bacterium. Its description in RNAcentral is "partial 16S ribosomal RNA". It matches the Rfam family "Bacterial small subunit ribosomal RNA", at positions 355 to 899 of the family's 1533-position model. The record is from RNAcentral.
UGGGGAAUAUUGCACAAUGGGCGAAGCCUGAUGCAGCAACGCCGCGUGAGUGAUGAAGGCCUUCGGGUUGUAAAGCUCUGUCUUUUGGGACGAUAAUGACGGUACCAAAGGAGGAAGCCACGGCUAACUACGUGCCAGCAGCCGCGGUAAUACGUAGGUGGCAAGCGUUGUCCGGAUUUACUGGGCGUAAAGGAUGCGUAGGCGGAUUUUUAAGUGAGAUGUGAAAUACCCGGGCUUAACUUGGGUGCUGCAUUUCAAACUGGGAAUCUAGAGUGCGGGAGAGGAGAAUGGAAUUCCUAGUGUAGCGGUGAAAUGCGUAGAGAUUAGGAAGAACACCAGUGGCGAAGGCGAUUCUCUGGACCGUAACUGACGCUGAGGCAUGAAAGCGUGGGUAGCAAACAGGAUUAGAUACCCUGGUAGUCCACGCCGUAAACGAUGAGUACUAGGUGUAGGAGGUAUCGACCCCUUCUGUGCCGCAGUUAACACAAUCAAGUACUCCGCCUGGGAAGUACGAUCGCAAGAUUAAAA